RNAcentral lists this ribosomal RNA (253 nucleotides) under uncultured bacterium. RNAcentral's name for it is "partial 16S ribosomal RNA". It matches the Rfam family "Bacterial small subunit ribosomal RNA", at positions 524 to 776 of the family's 1533-position model. The record is from RNAcentral.
UACGUAGGGGGCAAGCGUUGUCCGGAUUUAUUGGGCGUAAAGCGCACGCAGGCGGUUCAUUAAGUUUGGAGUGACAGUUCCUGGCUCAACCGGGAAAGUGCUUCGAACACUGGUGAACUUGAGGGCUUCAGAGGGACACGGAAUUCCGGGUGUAGCGGUGGAAUGCGUAGAGAUCCGGAGGAAGACCGGUGGCGAAGGCGGUCUGCUGGGCAGUUUCUGACACUGAGGCGCGACAGCGUGGGGAGCAAACAGG